This 406-nucleotide ribosomal RNA is filed under the name uncultured bacterium. RNAcentral describes it as "partial 16S ribosomal RNA". It matches the Rfam family "Bacterial small subunit ribosomal RNA", at positions 30 to 526 of the family's 1533-position model. The record is from RNAcentral.
AUUGAACGCUGGCGGCAGGCCUAACACAUGCAAGUCGAACGAGUGGCGGACGGGUGAGUAAUGUAUGGGAAACUGCCUGAUGGAGGGGGAUAACUACUGGAAACGGUAGCUAAUACCGAAUAACAUGAGAGGUGGCCAGAUGGGAUUAGCUAGUUGGUGGGGUAACGGCUCACCAAGGCGACGAUCCCUAGCUGGUCUGAGAGGAUGACCAGCCACACUGGAACUGAGACACGGUCCAGACUCCUACGGGAGGCAGCAGUGGGGAAUAUUGCACAAUGGGCGCAAGCCUGAUACAGCCAUGCCGCGUGUAUGAAGAAGGCCUUCGGGUUUUAAAGUACUUUCAGCGGGGAGGCGUUACCCGCAGAAGAAGCACCGGCUAACUCCGUGCCAGCAGCCGCGGUAAUUC